CAAGAGAAUCAAAAGACACGAUACAGGAACAGACAGUGUCAGUCACGGGUUGCAGAGACGUGGGGCAUAAGGACCAUGACGAAGGAUCUCGUCGUAAUCGUGAAAGCUAAAAAAGAUGCAACAACGAUAAGAAUGCAAGCAGCUGGACUUCCUGAUGUCCGCCACGAAGUGUCGCCGUGUCCGUCACCUCAUAAUUAUUUAUUAUAUUCGCAUGUACAGCCGACGAUUUUCCUGGUGGAGCCCUAACAGAGAUAGCCAAGACAAGCACGGUCCGUUGCCGGUUCAGGAUCUAUAUAACAGAAAUCUCCCGCGAAGAAAGAAUGUCUUUUCGUCGUCCUGUCAGGUCGUCGGAGGAGAAGUGAGACAUCGGGGAAUGUGUGACUAUACAAUAUGUAUGUGGAGGACAGUGGUGCUGCCUGGUCACGGAAACACAAACAGGUUCUCCGUAACAUCCAACGCAAACCUAAAACGGAAGUACCAACCGGUGCACAAGUAGCAACCGCCUCGAAACGGCGAAGAAAUCACCAUCGAAUGGGAUAAAGUACCAAUCGGAUGAGACAUUCUGGACACUGCAGCCUCUUCGAAGAAAUGACCAACUAACGCAGAAGAUGGUGGAGCCAGCAGGACCACACAGUACGAAGUCUCUAUCUCCUGUAUGUAAAGCACCCAAGAUAGACCCUUAAAACCCUUAAAAUCGUA
Long non-coding RNA from Ornithodoros turicata, 699 nucleotides. RefSeq lists it as uncharacterized. Lineage: Eukaryota; Metazoa; Arthropoda; Arachnida; Ixodida; Argasidae. The transcript has 3 exons. The record is from RefSeq and is a predicted model, not a curated record.